This 253-nucleotide ribosomal RNA is filed under the name uncultured bacterium. RNAcentral's name for it is "partial 16S ribosomal RNA". It matches the Rfam family "Bacterial small subunit ribosomal RNA", at positions 524 to 776 of the family's 1533-position model. The record is from RNAcentral.
UACGGAGGAUCCAAGCGUUAUCCGGAUUUAUUGGGUUUAAAGGGUGCGUAGGCGGCUUAUUAAGUCAGUGGUGAAAGCCUGGAGCUUAACUCCAGAACUGCCAUUGAUACUGAUGAGCUUGAGUACAGUUGAGGUGGGCGGAAUGUGUCAUGUAGCGGUGAAAUGCUUAGAUAUGACACAGAACACCGAUUGCGAAGGCAGCUCGCUAAACUGUAACUGACGCUGAGGCACGAAAGCGUGGGUAGCAAACAGG